GAAAGACACAAGCUGGCUGUGGUUGACUUAAUUAAUUUGGAAAUACCGUGCUAACGCGUGACGCUGGGAACCUGUCGGGGGGAGCUGGUUUUACACCUAUUCUGGUCUACUGUUCUACAAUUCCUCCAUCUGUUACUACUACCACUACUUCAUUGGACCACCGUCUAAAGAGUGCAUCACGUCGCUGACCAGUGAACAGCCUUCUGCUGCCAGUGACCAAGACUCAAAGACUCCACUCACACCACAACCCAACAGAGAGAAGACACUUCACCUGGGGGCCUGUAGGAUAAAGCUUGAAGAAAAGAGGGGAAAAAAACAAGCUCAAGUAAAAAAACAGGCCAAAAAAAUCUUCUGCCUCCCACUUAAAAAAAAAAGAAAAAAAAUGGAAAAAAGGUUCAGAAGGUUCUGCCUCCCCCUUCAUAUCCUCUCUUGACAUUUAGGAUCCUUUUAGCCGCUCUCCAUGUCUAGAAACUGUCCCGAUCAUGCCGUCUUGGACUGCUGAAGUGCCUUUCGUCCAAUAGAUCUUGGACUGCUGCUACUGUGGGUGGGGGAGUUCUGGACUUGGACUGUGCGUUGUUCCUGACUGCAAUUGGGUGUUGUGCCUUCAGUCGACUUCGAGUAUGAGUACUGCAGUGAAUGUUUUCCUCUGCAUCCUAGUGACACUGUCUCUUGCUUGUAACGCAGGGUCUUUUACUGGCUUUGUUGACCAUUGAAGGAACUGUGCACCGUUGUGCUUUCAGAUAGGUCUUCGGGACUAGCCUGAUGAUGUCUGCAAUGUUCAGAGAACCUGGAUCACCAAUGUCAGUCAGUAGAGUAGAGGAGAGUAGAGUAGAGUAGAGAAGAGUAGUAGAGGCUUGGCUAAAGUUAGUGGUUCUGGGCGGCGGAGGCAUUGUCAUGCGCAGGGCCUGUCCUGAUGCCUGGAUGGAGGUUCCCGCAGUGCGGUCCGGUCCGCGGUUCCUUCGGCUACCUUGGGGUGGGUGGACAACCAGGUCAGUGGAAUGCCUUGCUGCGCAGGUGGGAGGUGGUCUCGCUGUGCGGAGGAGGGCAUUCACUGCAGUGCUCGUCCGGGCUCAGCGGGGGGCAAGGCACCCGGUUGCAGUCUGGGGCGGCGCGUGGGCCGGCUCCGGGCUCCACUGCCAACAGUGGCAGCGGUCCAAGAACUGUUGAACGAAGGGUGCUUCAGUCGUCUGGGAAGGCUGGUUAGGGUAGUUGCAUGGACAUGGAAACCGGCUGAGGGAUUCCUGAGUGUCGGGAGGGGAAUGGGGGCAGUGCCACGCCCGGCCGCAGAUGGGAGGUGGGACAACCAGGACCUCACAGACCCACAGACCCACAGACAGGGUUGGCUGCAGCAGCGUACGCAUGUACACCAGACCUCAGAAGGGAGGUGGGACAGCCAUGAUCUCCUGGAUGCACAGGAGGGAGGGGACUUCAGGGCUUCGUCGGGAGUGUAGGCACCACUGGACCACAGGAGCCAGGCGAAUCACCAGGCCCUGCAGGUGAUCCAGGGCCUAAAGGCGCACAGGGAGCCAAAGGGGUCGAAGGAGAAGAGGGACCCGCAGGACAACAGGAGAGCCAGGGGAGAGGGGAAACGGUGGAUUCCCAGGCGCUCAAGGACCCAGUGGACAGAGGAUGUUCUACACUGGAGCUGGAAUGAACCCUGUCAGAUCUUUCAUCCUGCUACGUUCAAGAGGAACUUCAUGAACCACUGGGUAAGAAAAAUAUGUAAAAUAUAUAAAACAUGCUCAUAGUCUCGCAUUGUUUGUAAACUACUUUCAAUUCAGAUAUAAUAGAUGUAAUAGUGUUGCAUUGUUUUGGUCUUUUAUAGAAUGUGCAAUGCACUGCAUGUAUUUCUCAACUGCUAUGUAACUAUAAUAUGGUUUCUGUUCUUCCCUCCUCGUGCCUGCGCCCAUCCGUGCGUUCGUUCGUGCCUGCGUGCGUCCGUGUCUCCGUCCAGCCGUCUGUGCGUGCAUCCGUCUCUGCAUCCGUGCCUUCGUCUGGCCGGCCGUGCGUCCGUCUGUGCCCACGUCUGGCCGGCUGUGCGUCCGUCCGUGCGUCAGUCGGUCUGUGCGUGCGUCCGUCUGUGCCCACGUCCGUGCCACUGUCUGGCCGGCCGUGCGUCCGUCUGUCUGUGCGUCCGUGCCUACGUUUGGCCGGACGUGCUUCCGUCUGUGCGUCCGUGCCUACGUUUGGCCGGACGUGCAUCCGUCUGUGCCCACGUCCGUGCCUCCGUCUGGCCGGCUGUGCGUGCGUCCGUCCGUCCGUCCGUGCGUCAGUCGGUCUGUGCGUCCGUGCCUACGUCUGGCCGGCCGUGCGUCCGUCUGUGCCCACGUCCGUGCCACCGUCUGGCCGGCCGUGCGUCCGUCUGUGCGUCCGUGCCUACGUUUGGCCGGACGUGCUUCCGUCUGUGCGUCCGUGCCUACGUUUGGCCGGACGUUCAUCUGUCUGUGCCCACGUCCGUGCCUCCGUCUGGCCGGCUGUGUGUGCGUCCGUCCGUCCGUCAGUCCGCCUGUGCGUCCGUGUCUACGUCUGGCCGGACGUGCGUCCGUCUGUGCUUCCAUCUGUCCGUGCCUCCGGCCGGCCAGCUGUCCGUCCGUGUGUGCAUGCCUGCGUCUGUCUGUCCAUUCGUCCGUCCGUCUGUGCGUCAGUCCGUGCCUUCGUCCGGCUGAGCCCAUGUCUGUGCGUCCGUGCGUCUAUCAGUCUGUUUGCCCGCAAAAACAAAAAAACAGUAGGGGGUCUACCAAAAAAAAUGAGUGAUUUUUGAGUGUGUGUGUGUGUGUCUGUAUUUGGUCUCCUAUAGAAUUGACGUAAGAUACUGCUGAUGGUGUUCAAAGUAUUAAAUAGUCUUCCUCCCUGUUACAUCUCUGAUAUGCUCUCUUUUUAUGCCCCUGCCCGAGCUCUCAGAUCCGCUGAUGCCACGCUGCUAAGGAUUCCUACCCUUCCACCAAAGAAAAUUGGUGAAGCCGCCUUCGAUAUGUACGCGCCCAAGAGAUAGAACUCUGCCUCUUGACAUCAGAGACACUACCUCCAUCAACUCGCACAACUCUUUACCCUCGCCUAUUCUUAGCUGCUCAGGCCCUACAGGCUCCACAUGUCGUGCCCUGGUGUGCAAAAUCUGUAGUCAUCUCUCUUCCUUUUAACCCGUGCGUGAUUACAAAGCGUGUGUGUGUGUGUGUGUGUAUGAUUACAAAGCGUGUGUGUGUGGGGGGGGUUAAUAUGUGGUUUGAAGUGUUGGGGGGACACUGACAUUGUUUUUUGUAUUUUUUUUCCUGUCUUUAUCCUUUUUUUCCUUUAUCCUUUUAUUGUCCAUUAUUGUACGUUACAUUUUGCUUUUGUUAAAAGAUAGAAAAAUUAAGGUAAUGAAAAGAAAUGGAAGAAAAAGUAAGAAAUUAUUGGUCCCCCAUAAGGGGGGGUGGGUGGUUGGGUUUAUAAAAAAAAAAGUGUGUGCGCGUGCUAUUACAAAGCGUGUGUGUGUGAGCGAGAGAGAGAUUACAAAGUGUGUGUGUGUGUAUGAUUACAAAGCGUGUGUCUGUGUGUGUGGGGGGGGGUUAAUAUGUGGUUUGAAGUGUUGGGGGGACACUGACAUUGUUUUUUGUAUUUUUUUCGUGUCUUUAUCCUUUUUUUCCUGUAUCCUUUUAUUGUCUAUUAUUGUACGUUACAUUUUGCUUUUGUUAAAAGAUGGAAAAAUUAAGGUAAUGAAAAGAAAUGGAAGAAAAAGUAAGAAAUUAUUGGUCCCCCAUAAGGGGGGGUGGUGGUUGGGUUUAUAAAAAAAAAAAGUCUGUGCGCGCGCACGCACGUGCGAUUACAAAGCGUGUGUGUGUGAUUACAAAGCGUGUGUGUGUGUGUGUGUGUGUGUGUGUGUGUGUGUGUGUGAGCGAGAAAGAUAUUACAAAGUGUGUGUGUGUGUGUGUGUGUGUGAGUGUGCGUGAGUGAUUACAAAGCGUGAAUGUGUUGGCGUCAUGCAGAUGGUUAUUUUUAUUUUACACUUCUACACGUCAUCCCCCAAGCUGUAUUAUUUGCUAUGAUAUUAACCCCUCCUUGCAUCUGCACUUGUUGUUCUGUAUAUUUCCUGUGCUCUUUGUAUUUGCUAUGAUGUGAUGUUGGCUAUGAUUAUGUCUUCUUUGAAAGCCGCUUUGGUUAUAAAGCGUCUGCAAAAUGCAAUGUAAUGUAAAGGUAUAUUAAUAGACAAAUCAUCUGAUCUGCCUUUUCUGUACACCAAUAAAAGGAAA
Long non-coding RNA from Engraulis encrasicolus (European anchovy), 4226 nucleotides. RefSeq lists it as uncharacterized. NCBI's taxonomy places the organism in Eukaryota, Metazoa, Chordata, Actinopteri, Clupeiformes, Engraulidae. The record is from RefSeq and is a predicted model, not a curated record. The transcript has 6 exons.